This is a long non-coding RNA of Acanthochromis polyacanthus (spiny chromis), 585 nucleotides long. RefSeq lists it as uncharacterized. The record is from RefSeq and is a predicted model, not a curated record. The transcript has 3 exons. NCBI's taxonomy places the organism in Eukaryota, Metazoa, Chordata, Actinopteri, Pomacentridae.
AUAUCGACUUUCAUUAUAUAUAUAUCAACUUUCAUUAUAUAUAUAUCAAAUCUUUUUUUCCUACCGAGCCCCGGAAGGGACAUGUCCGUAUGGCGAAGCGACAACGAAGGACACUCACCCGGACGAGAAUUUUAUUGAGUUUUAUUUUAAAAUCGGCCUGAAACACACAGACAUUCAAGCAGUGCGAUGCGCUAAGAGUCUGCCAUGCAGACCAGCGAUCCUGAUAAUGUUGUCGGCCUUGGAUGAUGAGGUCCAGUUACCAGGAGCACUAGUCUGCAGCUUACUGGUUCCGUCUUGCAGCUCCUCCACGCUGUCCUCCUCUCUACAGACCAAAUCAAGAAAAGGGAAUCAGGAAGCUGCUGUGGAUCCUCUGCAGUAUCUGGAGAGGUCAGAGGAACGGUUCUUGGAACAGAUCGGAAGACACCAAGACGUGACCUCUGCCAUGCUCCAGAACAUCCAGAAGAUGAAUGAAAACCUUGGUUGCACUGAUGGGACGCAUGGUGUCGGUGCUGGAGCAACUGUCCCAGAAUUAAACUGCAUUGUUGACUAUUGGCUUUUCUAGAAAAUAAAUCUUUUUUAGUACUU